This 513-nucleotide ribosomal RNA is filed under the name uncultured bacterium. RNAcentral's name for it is "partial 16S ribosomal RNA". It matches the Rfam family "Bacterial small subunit ribosomal RNA", at positions 29 to 523 of the family's 1533-position model. The record is from RNAcentral.
AUUGAACGCUGGCGGCAGGCCUAACACAUGCAAGUCGAGCGGCAGCGGAAAGUAGCUUGCUCCCAAGAAGUUAGCGGCGGACGGGUGAGUAACACGUGGGCAACCUGCCUGACAGACUGGGAUAACAUUCGGAAACGAAUGCUAAUACCGGAUAGGCAGCGAAGAGGCAUCUCUUUGCUGAGAAAGGCGCUACGGCGUCACUGUCAGACGGGCCCGCGGCGCAUUAGCUCGUUGGUAGGGUAACGGCCUACCAAGGCGACGAUGCGUAGCCGACCUGAGAGGGUGACCGGCCACACUGGGACUGAGACACGGCCCAGACUCCUACGGGAGGCAGCAGUAGGGAAUCUUCCACAAUGGGCGAAAGCCUGAUGGAGCAACGCCGCGUGAGUGAUGAAGGCCUUCGGGUUGUAAAACUCUGUCUUCUGGGACGAACGGCCAAGAGAGGGAAAGCUCUUGGAUUGACGGUACCAGAGGAGGAAGCCACGGCUAACUACGUGCCAGCAGCCGCGGUAA